This 66-nucleotide transfer RNA is filed under the name Phasianus versicolor (green pheasant). RNAcentral's name for it is "tRNA-Ser". Lineage: Eukaryota; Metazoa; Chordata; Aves; Galliformes; Phasianidae. The record is from RNAcentral.
AGGGGAGGUCCAAACCAACAAGAACUGCUAAUUCUUGCAUCCGAGCCUUAAAUCUCGGCCCCCUUA